GACAGAGGUCCCGAGCGUUAGGCGGAAUCACUGGGCGUAAAGCGUGCGCAGGCGGUUUUGUAAGCCAGAUGUGAAAGCCCCGGGCUUAACCUGGGAAUGGCAUUUGGGACUGCAAGGCUUGAGUGCGGCAGAGGAGACUGGAAUUCCUGGUGUAGCAGUGAAAUGCGUAGAUAUCAGGAGGAAUACCGAUGGCGAAGGCAGGUCUCUGGGCUGACACUGACGCUCAUGCACGAAAGCGUGGGGAGCAAACAGG
This 253-nucleotide ribosomal RNA is filed under the name uncultured bacterium. Its description in RNAcentral is "partial 16S ribosomal RNA". It matches the Rfam family "Bacterial small subunit ribosomal RNA", at positions 524 to 776 of the family's 1533-position model. The record is from RNAcentral.